This 263-nucleotide ribosomal RNA is filed under the name uncultured bacterium. Its description in RNAcentral is "partial 16S ribosomal RNA". It matches the Rfam family "Bacterial small subunit ribosomal RNA", at positions 88 to 354 of the family's 1533-position model. The record is from RNAcentral.
CAUUCGAGUGGCGGACGGUGGAGUAACGCGUGGGUAACCUGCCUUACACAGGGGAUAACACCUGGAAACAGGUGCUAAUACCGCAUAAGCGCACAGGGCCGCAUGGCCCGGUGUGAAAAACUCCGGUGGUGUAAGAUGGACCCGCGUCUGAUUAGCUUGUUGCGGGUAGGGGCCCACCAAGGCGACGAUCAGUAGCCGGCCUGAGAGGGUGGACGGCCACAUUGGGACUGAGACACGGCCCAAACUCCUACGGAAGGCAGCAG